This 253-nucleotide ribosomal RNA is filed under the name uncultured bacterium. RNAcentral describes it as "partial 16S ribosomal RNA". It matches the Rfam family "Bacterial small subunit ribosomal RNA", at positions 524 to 776 of the family's 1533-position model. The record is from RNAcentral.
UACGUAGGGUGCGAGCGUUAAUCGGAAUUACUGGGCGUAAAGCGUGCGCAGGCGGCGCGUUAAGACAGGUGUGAAAGCCCCGAGCUUAACUUGGGAAUUGCGCUUGUGACUGGCGUGCUGGAGUGUGGCAGAGGGAGGUGGAAUUCCACGUGUAGCAGUGAAAUGCGUAGAGAUGUGGAGGAACACCGAUGGCGAAGGCAGCCUCCUGGGCCAGCACUGACGCUCAUGCACGAAAGCGUGGGGGGCAAACAGG